RNAcentral lists this small RNA (107 nucleotides) under Marmota monax (woodchuck). The record is from RNAcentral. Lineage: Eukaryota; Metazoa; Chordata; Mammalia; Rodentia; Sciuridae.
GCUGGGUGUGGUGGUACGCGCCUGUAAUCCCAGCAAUGUGGGAGGCUGAGUCAGGAGGCCUGCAAGUUUGAGGCCAGCCUGAGAAUUUUAGUGAGACUCUGUCUCAA